AUUGAACGCUGGCGGCAUGCCUUACACAUGCAAGUCGAACGGCAGCACGGGUUCUUGCACCUGGUGGCGAGUGGCGCACGGGUGAGUAAUACAUCGGAACAUGUCCUGUAGUGGGGGAUAGCCCGGCGAAAGCCGGAUUAAUACCGCAUACGAUCCACGGAUGAAAGCGGGGGACCUUCUGGCCUCGCGCUAUAGGGUUGGCCGAUGGCUGAUUAGCUAGUUGGUGGGGUAAAGGCCUACCAAGGCGACGAUCAGUAGCUGGUCUGAGAGGACGACCAGCCACACUGGGACUGAGACACGGCCCAGACUCCUACGGGAGGCAGCAGUGGGGAAUUUUGGACAAUGGGCGAAAGCCUGAUCCAGCAAUGCCGCGUGUGUGAAGAAGGCCUUCGGGUUGUAAAGCACUUUUGUCCGGAAAGAAAUCCUUGACUCUAAUACAGUCGGGGGAUGACGGUACCGGAAGAAUAAGCACCGGCUAACUACGUG
RNAcentral lists this ribosomal RNA (486 nucleotides) under uncultured bacterium. RNAcentral describes it as "partial 16S ribosomal RNA". It matches the Rfam family "Bacterial small subunit ribosomal RNA", at positions 30 to 507 of the family's 1533-position model. The record is from RNAcentral.